AGAGUUUGAUCCUGGCUCAGGAUGAACGCUGGCGGCGUGCCUAAUACAUGCAAGUCGAGCGAACGGACGAGAAGCUUGCUUCUCUGAUGUUAGCGGCGGACGGGUGAGUAACACGUGGAUAACCUACCUAUAAGACUGGGAUAACUUCGGGAAACCGGAGCUAAUACCGGAUAAUAUUUUGAACCGCAUGGUUCAAAAGUGAAAGACGGUCUUGCUGUCACUUAUAGAUGGAUCCGCGCUGCAUUAGCUAGUUGGUAAGGUAACGGCUUACCAAGGCAACGAUGCAUAGCCGACCUGAGAGGGUGAUCGGCCACACUGGAACUGAGACACGGUCCAGACUCCUACGGGAGGCAGCAGUAGGGAAUCUUCCGCAAUGGGCGAAAGCCUGACGGAGCAACGCCGCGUGAGUGAUGAAGGUCUUCGGAUCGUAAAACUCUGUUAUUAGGGAAGAACAUAUGUGUAAGUAACUGUGCACAUCUUGACGGUACCUAAUCAGAAAGCCACGGCUAACUACGUGCCAGCAGCCGCGGUAAUACGUAGGUGGCAAGCGUUAUCCGGAAUUAUUGGGCGUAAAGCGCGCGUAGGCGGUUUUUUAAGUCUGAUGUGAAAGCCCACGGCUCAACCGUGGAGGGUCAUUGGAAACUGGAAAACUUGAGUGCAGAAGAGGAAAGUGGAAUUCCAUGUGUAGCGGUGAAAUGCGCAGAGAUAUGGAGGAACACCAGUGGCGAAGGCGACUUUCUGGUCUGUAACUGACGCUGAUGUGCGAAAGCGUGGGGAUCAAACAGGAUUAGAUACCCUGGUAGUCCACGCCGUAAACGAUGAGUGCUAAGUGUUAGGGGGUUUCCGCCCCUUAGUGCUGCAGCUAACGCAUUAAGCACUCCGCCUGGGGAGUACGACCGCAAGGUUGAAACUCAAAGGAAUUGACGGGGACCCGCACAAGCGGUGGAGCAUGUGGUUUAAUUCGAAGCAACGCGAAGAACCUUACCAAAUCUUGACAUCCUUUGACAACUCUAGAGAUAGAGCUUUCCCCUUCGGGGGACAAAGUGACAGGUGGUGCAUGGUUGUCGUCAGCUCGUGUCGUGAGAUGUUGGGUUAAGUCCCGCAACGAGCGCAACCCUUAAGCUUAGUUGCCAUCAUUAAGUUGGGCACUCUAAGUUGACUGCCGGUGACAAACCGGAGGAAG
Molecule: ribosomal RNA, 1183 nt
Filed under: Staphylococcus aureus M0082
Lineage: Bacteria; Bacillati; Bacillota; Bacilli; Caryophanales; Staphylococcaceae
Description: bacterial SSU rRNA
Rfam family: Bacterial small subunit ribosomal RNA
Source: RNAcentral